GCGAAUGGCUCAUUAAAUCAGUUAUCGUUUAUUUGAUAGUACCUUACUACAUGGAUACCUGUGGUAAUUCUAGAGCUAAUACAUGCUGAAAACCUCGACUUCGGAAGGGGUGUAUUUAUUAGAUAAAAAACCAAUGCCCUUCGGGGCUCCUUGGUGAAUCAUAAUAACUUAACGAAUCGCAUGGCCUUGCGCCGGCGAUGGUUCAUUCAAAUUUCUGCCCUAUCAACUUUCGAUGGUAGGAUAGUGGCCUACCAUGGUGGCAACGGGUAACGGGGAAUUAGGGUUCGAUUCCGGAGAGGGAGCCUGAGAAACGGCUACCACAUCCAAGGAAGGCAGCAGGCGCGCAAAUUACCCAAUCCCGACACGGGGAGGUAGUGACAAUAAAUACUGAUACGGGGCUCUUUUGGGUCUCGUAAUUGGAAUGAGUACAAUCUAAAUCCCUUAACGAGGAACAAUUGGAGGGCAAGUCUGGUGCCAGCAGCCGCGGUAAUUCCAGCUCCAAUAGCGUAUAUUAAAGUUGUUGCAGUUAAAAAGCUCGUAGUUGAACCUUGGGUCUGGCUGGCCGGUCCGCCUCACCGCGAGUACUGGUCCGGCUGGACCUUUCCUUCUGGGGAAUCUCAUGGCCUUCACUGGCUGUGGGGGGAACCAGGACUUUUACUGUGAAAAAAAUUAGAGUGUUCAAAGCAGGCCUUUGCUCGAAUACAUUAGCAUGGAAUAAUAGAAUAGGACGUGCGGUUCUAUUUUGUUGGUUUCUAAGGACCGCCGUAAAUGAUUAAUAGGGAUAGUCGGGGGCGUCAGUAUUCAGCUGUCAGAGGUGAAAUU
RNAcentral lists this ribosomal RNA (822 nucleotides) under Aspergillus niger. RNAcentral's name for it is "SSU rRNA". It matches the Rfam family "Eukaryotic small subunit ribosomal RNA", at positions 89 to 918 of the family's 1831-position model. Lineage: Eukaryota; Fungi; Ascomycota; Eurotiomycetes; Eurotiales; Aspergillaceae. The record is from RNAcentral.